Nematostella vectensis (starlet sea anemone) is the source of this 4270-nucleotide long non-coding RNA. RefSeq lists it as uncharacterized. Lineage: Eukaryota; Metazoa; Cnidaria; Anthozoa; Actiniaria; Edwardsiidae. The record is from RefSeq and is a predicted model, not a curated record. The transcript is spliced from 2 exons.
ACCAGCACUGUAAAGAGAGCAUUACAAAGACUCAAGAAGGCAGGCAGAAGACAGUCAGAAAGAUGGGGAAAAAGAGACAGAGAGCGAGACAGAUAUGCAUGGGGGACUAAAAGACACAGAGAGGCGGACAGACUCUUCCAGGACUGGUGUUGGAAUCAGGGAGAUAUAAAAAAUACGAAGUGCUAAUGUUGAAACUACUCCGUUUUCACGUAGGCAUAGACACCUUCUGCUCUUUCUUUCCCAGACGGGGGACAUUCAACUACUGUAUAGUGCUAGGAAUCAAAAGAGAUGUCUUACCACAGUCAACACGGCUCCAUGUUUAAAGUUCUGUUUAAAUGCGAUUAGCUGCGGUAUUGUAUAGUGCUAGGAAUCAAAAGGGAUGUCUUACCACAGUCAACACGGCUCCAUGUUUGAAGUUCUGUUGAAAUGCGAUUAGCUGCGGUAUUGUAUCUGGCGGACCUUGAACGAAACCACUGGAAAGAAGUGACACUAAAUCAUGAAGAGUUUAGAGCAUGAUGCAAGACUGGGAAGAAGUGACACUAAAUCAUAAAGAGUUUAGAGCAUGAUGCAAGACUGGGAAGAAGUGACACUAAAUCUUGAAGAGUUUAGAGCAUGAUGCAAGACUGGUAAGAAGUGACACUAUAUCAGGAAGAGUUUAGAGCAUGAUGCAAGACUGGGAAGAAGUGACACUAAAUCAUGAACAUUUUAGACAUGAUGCAAGACUGGGAAGAAGUGACACUAAAUCAUGAAGAGUUUAGAGCAUGAUGCAAGACUGGGAAGAAGUGACACUAAAUCAUGAACAUUUUAGACAUGAUGCAAGACUGGGAAGAAGUGACACUAAAUCAUGAAGAGUUUAGAGCAUGAUGCAAGACUGGAAAGAAGUGACACUAAAUCAGGAAGAGUUUAGAGCAUGAUGCAAGACUGGGAAGAAGUGACACUAAAUCAUGAACAUUUUAGACAUGAUGCAAGACUAGGAAGAAGUGACACUAAAUCAUGAAGAGUUUAGAGCAUGAUGCAAGACUGGGAAGAAGUGACACUAAAUCAUGAACAUUUUAGACAUGAUGCAAGACUGGGAAGAAGUGACACUAAAUCAUGAAGAGUUUAGAGCCUGAUGCAAGACUGGAAAGACGUGACACUAAAUCAUGAACAUUUUAGACAUGAUGCAAGACUGGGAAGAAGUGACACUGAAUCAUGAAGAAUUUAGAGUAUGAUGCAAGACUGGGAAGAAGUGACACUAAAUCAUGAAGAGUUUAGAGCAUGAUGCAAGACUGGAAAGAAGUGACACUAAAUCAUGAAGAGUUUAGAGCCUGAUGCAAGACUGGAAAGAAGUGACACUAAAUCAUGAACAUUUUAGACAUGAUGCAAGACUGGAAAGAAGUGACACUAAAUCAUGAAGAGUUUAGAGCAUGAUGCAAGACUGGAAAGAAGUGACACUAAAUCAUAAAGAGUUUAGAGCAUGAUGCAAGACUGAGAAGAAGUGACACUAAAUCAUAAAGAGUUUAGAGCAUGAUGCAAGACUGGAAAGAAGUGACACUAAAUCAUGAACAUUUUAGACAUGAUGCAAGACUGGGAAGAAGUGACACUAAAUCAUGAACAUUUUAGACAUGAUGCAAGACUGGGAAGAAGUGACACUAUAUCAGGAAGAGUUUAGAGCAUGAUGCAAGACUGGAAAGAAGUGACACUAAAUCAUAAAGAGUUUAGAGCAUGAUGCAAGACUGAGAAGAAGUGACACUAAAUCAUAAAGAGUUUAGAGCAUGAUGCAAGACUGAGAAGAAGUGACACUAAAUCAUAAAGAGUUCAGAGCAUGAUGCAAGACUGGAAAGAAGUGACACUAAAUCAUGAAGAGUUUAGAAGAUGAUGCAAGACUGGGAAGAAGUGAAACUAAAUCUUGAAGAGUUUAGAGCAUGAUGCAAGACUGGGAAGAAGUGACACUAAAUCAUGAAGAGUUUAGAGCUUGAUGCAAGACUGGGAAGAAGUGACACUAAAUCAUGAACAUUUUAGACAUGAUGCAAGACUGGGAAGAAGUGACACUAAAUCAUGAACAUUUUAGACAUGAUGCAAGACUGGGAAGAAGUGACACUAAAUCAUGAAGAGUUUAGAGCAUGAUGCAAGACUGGAAAGAAGUGACACUAAAUCAUGAAGAGUUUAGAGCCUGAUGCAAGACUGGAAAGAAGUGACACUAAAUCAUGAACAUUUUAGACAUGAUGCAAGACUGGAAAGAAGUGACACUAAAUCAGGAAGAGUUAAGAGCAUGAUGCAAGACUGGGAAGAAGUGACACUGAAUCAUGAACAUUUUAGACAUGAUGCAAGACUGGGAAGAAGUGACACUAAAUCAUAAAGAGUUUAGAGCAUGAUGCAAGACUGGGAAGAAGUGACACUAAAUCAUAAAGAGUUUAGAGCAUGAUGCAAGACUGAGAAGAAGUGACACUAAAUCAGGAAGAGUUUAGAGCAUGAUGCAAGACUGAGAAGAAGUGACACUAAAUCAUGAACAUUUUAGACAUGAUGCAAGACUGGGAAGAAGUGACACUAAAUCAUAAAGAGUUUAGAGCAUGAUGCAAGACUGGAAAGAAGUGACACUAAAUCAUGAACAUUUUAGACAUGAUGCAAGACUGGAAAGAAGUGACACUAAAUCAUAAAGAGUUUAGAGCAUGAUGCAAGACUGGAAAGAAGUGACACUAAAUCAUAAAGAGUUUAGAGCAUGAUGCAAGACUGGGAAGAAGUGACACUAAAUCAUAAAGAGUUUAGAGCAUGAUGCAAGACUGAGAAGAAGUGACACUAAAUCAUAAAGAGUUUAGAGCAUGAUGCAAGACUGGAAAGAAGUGACACUAAAUCAUGAAGAGUUUAGAGCAUGAUGCAAGAUUGGAAAGAAGUGACACUAAAUCAUAAAGAGUUUAGAGCAUGAUGCAAGACUGGGAAGAAGUGACACUAAAUCAUGAAGAGUUUAGAGCAUGAUGCAAGAUUGGAAAGAAGUGACACUAAAUCAUAAAGAGUUUAGAGCAUGAUGCAAGAUUGGAAAGAAGUGACACUAAAUCAUAAAGAGUUUAGAGCAUGAUGCAAGACUGGGAAGAAGUGACACUAAAUCAUAAAGAGUUUAGAGCAUGAUGCAAGACUGGGAAGAAGUGACACUAAAUCAUGAAGAGUUUAGAGCAUGAUGCAAGACUGGAAAGAAGUGACACUAAAUCAUAAAGAGUUUAGAGCAUGAUGCAAGACUGGGAAGAAGUGACACUAAAUCAUAAAGAGUUUAGAGCAUGAUGCAAGACUGGGAAGAAGUGACACUAAAUCAUGAAGAGUUUAGAGCUUGAUGCAAGACUGGGAAGAAGUUACACUAAAUCAUGAAGAGUUUAGAGCACGAUGCAAGACUGUGAAGAAGUGACACUAAAUCAUGAAGAAUUUAGAGUAUGAUGCAAGUCGUUGUCACUUAAUGGCAAGUAAGAAAUCACAUCUGAAAAUAUGGCCCACAGGGCAUGGACUACAAAAAAAUGUCGCAGUUUCCUUUUAUCUUACAAGUGCUGUGUGUUCGUUCCCUUUAAGAAUAACUUAACACCACGCCACGGUUUCAGGCCGUUUGUCAGUCUGUGGCCUCUAUGAAGGUAGUACAAAUAAGAUUAAGAUGGCCGUUAAUUACGAACAAGCAUAGCAGCCUGAGGGGCCGGGCCUGUCAAAGACAUUGCGGUCACACUCAGGGUCAGCGGUCACACCCUGGGUCGGGUCACCAGCAGCUAGGACAUUCGUAUUCUGCUUACACGCACGCGUUCACUCGACGUUUUACUUGGAUCAGAAAUUGGCGAUGCGUUUGUUCGCGAUCGCAUCGACGACAGAGAAGAACGUGACAAACGCGAAGAGACGCGAAUGAAAGCUGAAUCACGGCUAAAAAUACGAAAAUAAAAGCCGAAAACUUUUCAGUAACGAAAACCUCCACAAACAAACCCAAUAGGCUUAGCAGCCUCGCCAAUAGAGUAAGCAGCCUCGCCAAUAGGCUUAGCAACCUCGCCAAUAGAGUAAGCAACCUCGCCAAUAGGCUUAGCAACCGCACCCACCUUGGCAGGACCUCGAACGUGGGCUUCAGCCUCGUUUUGAACAUGACGACCAUCGGUUGUGCUCGCUGGCCGUCAUCUAGGGGGGGGGGGGGGGCAGGAGCGAAAACAUGAGAGAAGACAUUUGUUUUAAAAGACAUUUAUCAGUGAUACUAGAAAAGACUUCAAAUAUAUGUUUUAAAUUGCCCUUCAUGCACCCUUCAUUUACCCUUAUAAAAGUAAAUUUUUUAUUUUUU